UUUUUCAUAUUGUUCUCUCUGUAAUGAGCGAUUCUCUCUUGGAUCUUUGUGAUCUUUGUGUAGAUUUCUGUAAAGAGAUUGAAUCUUUAUGAGCUCUUGUGUGAGUUCAAUUCGGUGUUGAGGGUUUUGAUAGUUGUUGUGGUUGGAACUGUGUGUUCCGUUUGUAAUCGAAGUUUGUGGUAUUUGGCCGGUGAUUUUUAGUGGAUUUGAGCCUAUUCCUUAUGGAUGCUCAACGGGGACUAGGCGAUUUGUUAAAUCGCUGAACCUCGGGGCUUCG
This 277-nucleotide long non-coding RNA is filed under the name Olea europaea (common olive). Its description in RNAcentral is "long non-coding RNA (OEUR_LNC002287)". The record is from RNAcentral. Lineage: Eukaryota; Viridiplantae; Streptophyta; Magnoliopsida; Lamiales; Oleaceae.